This 677-nucleotide ribosomal RNA is filed under the name Limosilactobacillus fermentum. RNAcentral's name for it is "bacterial SSU rRNA". It matches the Rfam family "Bacterial small subunit ribosomal RNA", at positions 754 to 1431 of the family's 1533-position model. Lineage: Bacteria; Bacillati; Bacillota; Bacilli; Lactobacillales; Lactobacillaceae. The record is from RNAcentral.
CGAAAGCAUGGGUAGCGAACAGGAUUAGAUACCCUGGUAGUCCAUGCCGUAAACGAUGAGUGCUAGGUGUUGGAGGGUUUCCGCCCUUCAGUGCCGGAGCUAACGCAUUAAGCACUCCGCCUGGGGAGUACGACCGCAAGGUUGAAACUCAAAGGAAUUGACGGGGGCCCGCACAAGCGGUGGAGCAUGUGGUUUAAUUCGAAGCUACGCGAAGAACCUUACCAGGUCUUGACAUCUUGCGCCAACCCUAGAGAUAGGGCGUUUCCUUCGGGAACGCAAUGACAGGUGGUGCAUGGUCGUCGUCAGCUCGUGUCGUGAGAUGUUGGGUUAAGUCCCGCAACGAGCGCAACCCUUGUUACUAGUUGCCAGCAUUAAGUUGGGCACUCUAGUGAGACUGCCGGUGACAAACCGGAGGAAGGUGGGGACGACGUCAGAUCAUCAUGCCCCUUAUGACCUGGGCUACACACGUGCUACAAUGGACGGUACAACGAGUCGCGAACUCGCGAGGGCAAGCAAAUCUCUUAAAACCGUUCUCAGUUCGGACUGCAGGCUGCAACUCGCCUGCACGAAGUCGGAAUCGCUAGUAAUCGCGGAUCAGCAUGCCGCGGUGAAUACGUUCCCGGGCCUUGUACACACCGCCCGUCACACCAUGAGAGUUUGUAACACCCAAAGUCGGU